CCUACGGGAGGCAGCAGUAGGGAAUCUUCCACAAUGGGCGAAAGCCUGAUGGAGCAACGCCGCGUGGGUGAAGAAGGUCUUCGGAUCGUAAAACCCUGUUGUUAGAGAAGAAAGUGCGUGAGAGUAACUGUUCACGUUUCGACGGUAUCUAACCAGAAAGCCACGGCUAACUACGUGCCAGCAGCCGCGGGAAUACGUAGGUGGCAAGCGUUAUCCGGAUUUAUUGGGCGUAAAGGGAACGCAGGCGGUCUUUUAAGUCUGAUGGGAAAGCCUUCGGCUUAACCGGAGUAGUGCAUUGGAAACUGGGAGACUUGAGUGCAGAAGAGGAGAGUGGAACUCCAUGUGGAGCGGUGAAAUGCGUAGAUAUAUGGAAGAACACCAGUGGCGAAAGCGGCUCUCUGGUCUGUAACUGACGCUGAGGUUCGAAAGCGUGGGUAGCAAACAGGAUUAGAUACCCGGGUAGUC
Molecule: ribosomal RNA, 465 nt
Filed under: uncultured bacterium
Lineage: Bacteria
Description: partial 16S ribosomal RNA
Rfam family: Bacterial small subunit ribosomal RNA
Source: RNAcentral